UUUGUCUCGGGCGGAACUAAUCUGUAUAAUAACUAAACGCGUCAUACAUGUAUUCAAACAUCUGCUGACUAUUCAAUAAUUGUUGAUACGUAAAAUUGAAAAUUUUCCAAGAACCGUCAUAGUCAAAGGAUGACCGAACACAAACUAUAUUGCAAACAGUUUUGUCCUAAAUAGAAUGCCCGGCGAAGUGGUCAUCUGAUGUCUGUAUUAUUUUAUAAUACACUAUAACAGUGAACGAACGAUUGCUUCCUACGCGGUCAAUAAAAACCUGUCAGACGUACUAAAUGCACUUAUGGGCCAUCUGCAAUGGGCACAGAUUACCGAAGUGGAAGCUAAACCGCAUCCAGAUUUCCCAAACGAACAUGUUUCAUUUACAGGGAAACCCUAAUUUGUUUUCAGAGGAUGUGUGUCAGUCUUCUAAACAAGGGCAAAGUAAGCGAUUGAAAACAAAACUACAACAUGAUCAAUCAUAUGGUCAAAAUAGAGGCGAUUUCAAAGACAAGGCGCAUACAUCGGAUGUCGAGAAACAAGGUGAUCAGAAUAUCUUUACCGUCAAACAUAAAGGUUGUGAUACACGUUUACCUUAUUAUGAAUUUACCAAUACAGUUCGUGGACAGUCUUUCUAUGACUCUGACGUUUCAUGGAAAAUUUUCAAUUUUACGUAUCAACAAUUACUGAAUAGCCAGCGUAUGUUUAAAUACAAGUAUGACGCAUUAAGUUAUUUAUACGGAUUAUUUCCGCCCAAGGCAUAUGUUUUAUUUACUGGCAUACAACAUGUACCAGUACAACACAUAUUACCGUUAGUGUGUGGUACAAAGAUAUAUCGAAAAAAUUAGGACAAUUAUUUCCAACUUCUAAUGGUGAAUUUGAUGUGAAGUACAAGUCAAAAGCUGGUGAAUUUGCCACAAGCUUGUUGAGGUCUAUUAACGGUGGGAAUAAUCAAUCGUUGAAACCGUUCGUUGCCAAAUAUUGCAUACCACCAGUAAAGGAAAACCAGGACAUCAAAAGAAUAAUAAAGAAAUUUCAUACUGAGUUUCCAAAUAAAAAAAACGGAUACCAUAUAUCACUUUGAAGUUCAAAUUCAAGAGCUUGUGAAAAAAGUAAUUAAUUAUCUUUCUUUAGAUUUAGGUUUCGCGUACGUGGAAAAGUCCCCGUUCGAC
Adelges cooleyi (spruce gall adelgid) is the source of this 1160-nucleotide long non-coding RNA. RefSeq lists it as uncharacterized. The transcript has 3 exons. Lineage: Eukaryota; Metazoa; Arthropoda; Insecta; Hemiptera; Adelgidae. The record is from RefSeq and is a predicted model, not a curated record.